AGAGUUUGAUCAUGGCUCAGGAUGAACGCUGGCGGCGUGCCUAACACAUGCAAGUCGAGCGAUUUACUUCGGUAAAGAGCGGCGGACGGGUGAGUAACGCGUGGGUAACCUGCCCUGUACACACGGAUAACAUACCGAAAGGUAUGCUAAUACGAGAUAAUAUACUUUUAUCGCAUGGUAGAAGUAUCAAAGCUCUGGCGGUACAGGAUGGACCCGCGUCUGAUUAACUAGUUGGUAAGGUAACGGCUUACCAAGGCGACGAUCAGUAGCCGACCUGAGAGGGUGAUCGGCCACAUUGGAACUGAGACACGGUCCAAACUCCUACGGGAGGCAGCAGUGGGGAAUAUUGCACAAUGGGCGAAAGCCUGAUGCAGCAACGCCGCGUGAGCGAUGAAGGCCUUCGGGUCGUAAAGCUCUGUCCUCAAGGAAGAUAAUGACGGUACUUGAGGAGGAAGCCCCGGCUAACUACGUGCCAGCAGCCGCGGUAAUACGUAGGGGGCUAGCGUUAUCCGGAAUUACUGGGCGUAAAGGGUGCGUAGGUGGUUUCUUAAGUCAGAGGUGAAAGGCUACGGCUCAACCGUAGUAAGCCUUUGAAACUGGGAAACUUGAGUGCAGGAGAGGAGAGUGGAAUUCCUAGUGUAGCGGUGAAAUGCGUAGAUAUUAGGAGGAACACCAGUUGCGAAGGCGGCUCUCUGGACUGUAACUGACACUGAGGCACGAAAGCGUGGGGAGCAAACAGGAUUAGAUACCCUGGUAGUCCACGCCGUAAACGAUGAGUACUAGCUGUCGGAGGUUACCCCCUUCGGUGGCGCAGCUAACGCAUUAAGUACUCCGCCUGGGAAGUACGCUCGCAAGAGUGAAACUCAAAUGAAUUGACGG
RNAcentral lists this ribosomal RNA (879 nucleotides) under uncultured bacterium. Its description in RNAcentral is "bacterial SSU rRNA". It matches the Rfam family "Bacterial small subunit ribosomal RNA", at positions 8 to 916 of the family's 1533-position model. The record is from RNAcentral.